GGCAUACACAUGCAGUCGAGCGGGGAAGUAUAGCUUGCUAUAUGACCUAGCGGCGGACGGGUGAGUAAUGCUUAGGAAUCUGCCUAUUAGUGGGGGACAACAUUCCGAAAGGAAUGCUAAUACCGCAUACGCCCUACGGGGGAAAGCAGGGGAUCUUCGGACCUUGCGCUAAUAGAUGAGCCUAAGUCAGAUUAGCUAGUUGGUGGGGUAAAGGCCUACCAAGGCGACGAUCUGUAGCGGGUCUGAGAGGAUGAUCCGCCACACUGGGACUGAGACACGGCCCAGACUCCUACGGGAGGCAGCAGUGGGGAAUAUUGGACAAUGGGCGAAAGCCUGAUCCAGCCAUGCCGCGUGUGUGAAGAAGGCCUUUUGGUUGUAAAGCACUUUAAGCGAGGAGGAGGCUACUUAGAUUAAUACUCUAGGAUAGUGGACGUUACUCGCAGAAUAAGCACCGGCUAACUCUGUGCCAGCAGCCGCGGUAAUACAGAGGGUGCGAGCGUUAAUCGGAUUUACUGGGCGUAAAGCGUGCGUAGGCGGCUUUUUAAGUCGGAUGUGAAAUCCCUGAGCUUAACUUAGGAAUUGCAUUCGAUACUGGGAAGCUAGAGUAUGGGAGAGGAUGGUAGAAUUCCAGGUGUAGCGGUGAAAUGCGUAGAGAUCUGGAGGAAUACCGAUGGCGAAGGCAGCCAUCUGGCCUAAUACUGACGCUGAGGUACGAAAGCAUGGGGAGCAAACAGGAUUAGAUACCCUGGUAGUCCAUGCCGUAAACGAUGUCUACUAGCCGUUGGGGCCUUUGAGGCUUUAGUGGCGCAGCUAACGCGAUAAGUAGACCGCCUGGGGAGUACGGUCGCAAGACUAAAACUCAAAUGAAUUGACGGGGGCCCGCACAAGCGGUGGAGCAUGUGGUUUAAUUCGAUGCAACGCGAAGAACCUUACCUGGUCUUGACAUAGUAAGAACUUUCCAGAGAUGGAUUGGUGCCUUCGGGAACUUACAUACAGGUGCUGCAUGGCUGUCGUCAGCUCGUGUCGUGAGAUGUUG
Molecule: ribosomal RNA, 1036 nt
Filed under: Acinetobacter johnsonii
Lineage: Bacteria; Pseudomonadati; Pseudomonadota; Gammaproteobacteria; Moraxellales; Moraxellaceae
Description: bacterial SSU rRNA
Rfam family: Bacterial small subunit ribosomal RNA
Source: RNAcentral